This 378-nucleotide ribosomal RNA is filed under the name uncultured eukaryote. Its description in RNAcentral is "partial 18S ribosomal RNA". It matches the Rfam family "Eukaryotic small subunit ribosomal RNA", at positions 592 to 975 of the family's 1831-position model. The record is from RNAcentral.
CAAUAGCGUAUAUUAAAGUUGUUGCAGUUAAAAAGCUCGUAGUUGAACUUCAGACCUGGCUGGGCGGUCCGCCUAACGGUGUGUACUGUCUGGCUGGGUCUUACCUCUUGGUGAGCCGGCAUGCCCUUCACUGGGUGUGUCGGGGAACCAGGACUUUUACCUUGAGAAAAUUAGAGUGUUCAAAGCAGGCCUGCGCCUGAAUACAUUAGCAUGGAAUAAUAAAAUAGGACGUGCGGUUCUAUUUUGUUGGUUUCUAGAGUCGCCGUAAUGAUUAAUAGGGAUAGUUGGGGGCAUUAGUAUUCCGUUGCUAGAGGUGAAAUUCUUGGAUUUACGGAAGACUAACUACUGCGAAAGCAUUUGCCAAGGAUGUUUUCAUUA